This 426-nucleotide ribosomal RNA is filed under the name Burkholderia arboris. Its description in RNAcentral is "bacterial SSU rRNA". It matches the Rfam family "Bacterial small subunit ribosomal RNA", at positions 13 to 442 of the family's 1533-position model. The record is from RNAcentral. Lineage: Bacteria; Pseudomonadati; Pseudomonadota; Betaproteobacteria; Burkholderiales; Burkholderiaceae.
UUGAUCCUGGCUCAGAUUGAACGCUGGCGGCAUGCCUUACACAUGCAAGUCGAACGGCAGCACGGGUGCUUGCACCUGGUGGCGAGUGGCGAACGGGUGAGUAAUACAUCGGAACAUGUCCUGUAGUGGGGGAUAGCCCGGCGAAAGCCGGAUUAAUACCGCAUACGAUCUACGGAUGAAAGCGGGGGACCUUCGGGCCUCGCGCUAUAGGGUUGGCCGAUGGCUGAUUAGCUAGUUGGUGGGGUAAAGGCCUACCAAGGCGACGAUCAGUAGCUGGUCUGAGAGGACGACCAGCCACACUGGGACUGAGACACGGCCCAGACUCCUACGGGAGGCAGCAGUGGGGAAUUUUGGACAAUGGGCGAAAGCCUGACCAGCAAUGCCGCGUGUGUGAGAGGCCUUCGGGUUGUAAAGCACUUUUGUCCG